AUCGCUGAUAGAUAGGCAUGCGUUCCAUUAGGCAGUUGGCGGGGUAACGGCCCACCAAACCGACGAUGGAUAGGGGUUCUGAGAGGAAGGUCCCCCACAUUGGUACUGAGACACGGACCAAACUCCUACGGGAGGCAGCAGUGAGGAAUAUUGGUCAAUGGCCGAGAGGCUGAACCAGCCAAGUCGCGUGAAGGAAGAAGGAUCUAUGGUUUGUAAACUUCUUUUAUAGGGGAAUAAAGUGGAGGACGUGUCCUUUUUUGUAUGUACCCUAUGAAUAAGCAUCGGCUAACUCCGUGCCAGCAGCCGCGGUAAUACGGAGGAUGCGAGCGUUAUCCGGAUUUAUUGGGUUUAA
Molecule: ribosomal RNA, 352 nt
Filed under: uncultured bacterium
Lineage: Bacteria
Description: bacterial SSU rRNA
Rfam family: Bacterial small subunit ribosomal RNA
Source: RNAcentral